UCUGUCAAUAUGCAGCCUCUCUGUUCAUUCACGGCUGCCUCUCUGUUAUAUACAAGAAAACGGAUGAUCGACAUUCACAAAACAGAAAUGCAAUGGAGAGGGUUCCCAUGCCAGUGUCAAUCGACGACUAGAUAGGCUACCCGUGCCAGAAAAGUGAGCCGAUCGAGAGGCUUCCCGUGCCACAACGAAAGCGAAAAGAGGCAGCCGAGAAUGAACAGAGAGGCAGCAUUUUGACAGAGAGGCCACCGAUAUGAAUCUACA
This is a long non-coding RNA of Dreissena polymorpha, 261 nucleotides long. RefSeq lists it as uncharacterized. Lineage: Eukaryota; Metazoa; Mollusca; Bivalvia; Myida; Dreissenidae. The record is from RefSeq and is a predicted model, not a curated record. The transcript has 3 exons.